Molecule: ribosomal RNA, 723 nt
Filed under: uncultured fungus
Lineage: Eukaryota; Fungi
Description: SSU rRNA
Rfam family: Eukaryotic small subunit ribosomal RNA
Source: RNAcentral
CCAAGGAAGGCAGCAGGCGCGCAAAUUACCCAAUCCCGAUCCGGGGAGGUAGUGACAAUAAAUACUGAUACAGGGCUCUUUUGGGUCUUGUAAUUGGAAUGGGUACAAUCUAAAUCCCUUAACGAGGAACAAUUGGAGGGCAAGUCUGGUGCCAGCAGCCGCGGUAAUUCCAGCUCCAAUAGCGUAUAUUAAAGUUGUUGCCGUUAAAAAGCUCGUAGUUGAACCUUGGACCUGGCCGAUCUGUCCUCCUAAUCGAGCGCACGGACUCGGUCGGGUCUUUCCUUCUGGGGAGCCCUAUGCCCUUCACUGGGUGUAGCGGGGAACCAGGACUUUUACCUUGAAAAAAAUUAGAGUGUUCAAAGCAGGCCUUUGCUCGAAUACAUUAGCAUGGAAUAAUAGAAUAGGACAUCGGUUCUAUUUUGUUGGUUUCUAGGACCGCUGUAAUGAUUAAUAGGGAUAGUCGGGGGCGUCAGUAUUCAGCUGUCAGAGGUGAAAUUCUUGGAUUUGCUGAAGACUAACUACUGCGAAAGCAUUCGCCAAGGAUGUUUUCAUUAAUCAGGGAACGAAAGUUAGGGGAUCGAAGACGAUCAGAUACCGUCGUAGUCUUAACCAUAAACUAUGCCGACUAGGGAUCGGACGGGAUUCUAUUAUGACCCGUUCGGCACCUUACGAGAAAUCAAAGUUUUUGGGUUCUGGGGGGAGUAUGGUCGCAAGGCUGAAACU